GUCUACAGCCGUACCACCCUGAACGUGCCUGAUCUCAUCUGGUCUCAGAAACUAAGUAGGGUCAUGCCUGGUUAAGUGCUAGGAUGAAAGUUCAAGACCAACCAUGAGAUUAGAAGGUUGGGACUUUAAGCC
RNAcentral lists this ribosomal RNA (132 nucleotides) under Carlito syrichta (Philippine tarsier). Lineage: Eukaryota; Metazoa; Chordata; Mammalia; Primates; Tarsiidae. The record is from RNAcentral.